ACACGGUGACGAAGAUCGUCCCGUGCCGUCCGCCCGAGGCAGUGCCGUACUCCUCGUGAGCACGGACCAGCGGCGGUUGGACCGGAGCCACAAGGCGACGGAGGAAGGUGAGUCGACACGGGUCAGUCCUGUGUCGACAGCUUACAGCCCCGUCGUACGGUGCUCAGGCCCGACCGAGGAAAUCGGGCAGCCCUUGCCCACCGCGGCACACGCCGAAUGGCGGGGCCUCCCGGUGCGAGUGAACCGUGCGGUGUGGACUGCAUGCAGUGCAAAUCGUGGCGGCGAUCUCGUGGCGGUGAGUGCCACACGUGUGCCAGUGCUGCUGGUAUUCAGAC
RNAcentral lists this unclassified non-coding RNA (335 nucleotides) under Hyattella intestinalis. RNAcentral's name for it is "sequence contains 28S rRNA gene". Lineage: Eukaryota; Metazoa; Porifera; Demospongiae; Dictyoceratida; Spongiidae. The record is from RNAcentral.